This is a long non-coding RNA of Triticum aestivum (bread wheat), 1751 nucleotides long. RefSeq lists it as uncharacterized. The record is from RefSeq and is a predicted model, not a curated record. Lineage: Eukaryota; Viridiplantae; Streptophyta; Magnoliopsida; Poales; Poaceae. The transcript has 4 exons.
AACAACACCCACUGCCGCCCACCACCGCUCACUGCGUGCCUCUUCCUUAUCCACACACAACACACAACACACAUCAGCCAUUCCACCUCCUCUUCUUCAUCCACCCCGAUCUAGCCCACGAACAGCUUGGCCUAGCCUUCCCACUGUGCGCAGCCGUGGUGGCUGGCGGGGGCCAGGGCAGCAACCCCCCUGUCGGUGAGGAACCACGAGAGGACGCCAUGGAUGGCGGUUUGGAGCUGCGUCGCCCGAUCUGGCCGCCAGCCCAGUAUCUGAUCCCUGCGUCGGCUUCGGCUCGAUUCGGACGUCCAUAGCCUCCGCCACCUGCGCAUGCCCUAGGUCCGGCCGAUGAUCUCGCGCCGCUUCGUCUGCUCGCGUUGACCCCGAGAAGGCCAACGCCUCGUCGUCCAGCCGCGGCCCGGCCUGUGACGGCGGCGGCGGCGGCAUCCCCGUGCCGUGGUGGUGGAGCUCUCCGGUGGGUGGCUGGGCGACAGGGGAUGCGGGGCUGGCUCGGUUGCUCGCCAGAUCGGCAGGCCUGUGUGGAGGCGCGGGAGGCGGUCUGGCGCAGCGCCUGCUGUGUGUCGUCCUCGGCAGCUGCCUGGCGGGAUGCGUUGUGGUGGUGCCGUGUGCACUGCGGCUGCCAAUGCAGGGAGGGAGAGGAGGGCGAUGCGAGCGGGUGCGGGUGGAUGCGGGUGACUCCUUUUUUUCCCCGACGAACCGUUAUUUUCACUUAUGCACGUGACUGCGGGUUAAUUACCAACAAACAAAGGGACUUUUCUGUAAAAACGCCGCCGACGUACGACAUAAACCCAAUUCUCUUUAUUAUUAGAGCAGAUAUAUUGCCUUUGAAUUUACUUCUAUCUGGAGAGGGACAGGUCUGUAGUAGAUUUGUUUUCAAAACAAAUCUCUAAGGUGAGGAUAGGGGUAGCGAUGGAGAAAUGGUGUAGAUGGUGGCUGAGAGGGAGGGGCCGAAAGAAAUACGUCCACAUUUGUAGCUAUAGAGUAACUGGUGAACACAUACUUUGCUUGUUUAUAUUUUCCAGAAUAGUACUCCCUCCGUCCGAAAAUACUUGUCAGAAAAAUGGAUAAAAAUGAAUAUAUCUAAAACUAAAAUAUGUCUAGAUACAUUCAUUUCUCCGACAAGUAUUUUUGGACAGAGGGAGUAUAAAGGAAUGGCGUGUGUCGUCUGUAACAUGCCCCCUUUGUUUGAAUAUUCAACCAGGAGCAAUUUCAUCUCAUUUGGCAACGAGCAUUGAGACGUUUUUUUGUUGUCAAAAAAGGUCUUAUAUUUUGACAUAGAGGGAGUAUCUCUUAGCAACCACUAGACAUUUUUGUAAUAUAUCUGUGCAUUCUACCCUGCCUAGAGUUUUGGUUAUUUUGGCCCUUCCAUGCAUUGAAUUCAGAAACACUUUCAAAACUGGGCCAGUUUCAGAAUUCAUGCAAAUGAAUGCUAUAUCGAGUGAAAUCGGCGUUUUUUUUUUUACUAAUGUCACUUUUGACAGUAUGAAGAUACUGCCCUGAAACCCUGAUGUUAACAGCUCAAAGAAGGCAUUACAGAAAAAGUUGUUGCCGUUUUUGUCAUUCUGAGGACAUGGUACGUGAGGUUGAUGGAAGUUUGGGUGGUUCGAUUAUUAUAACUCUCAGAACAAAAGUUCUACCGUGACAUUAUGUUCGUGCUGUAAGCUUGAGUGGGUUACCUCACAACAAUCUGUAAGCUUGGAUCACAAUUUGGCACCCAAAAUAUUGUGAGAUUU